RNAcentral lists this ribosomal RNA (253 nucleotides) under uncultured bacterium. Its description in RNAcentral is "partial 16S ribosomal RNA". It matches the Rfam family "Bacterial small subunit ribosomal RNA", at positions 524 to 776 of the family's 1533-position model. The record is from RNAcentral.
UUCGAAGGGGGCUAGCGUUGUUCGGAUUUACUGGGCGUAAAGCGCGUGUAGUCGGGUCGUUAAGUUGGGGGUGAAAACCCGGAGCUCAACUCCGGAACUUCCUUCAAAACUGGCGAACUGGACUCAAGCAGAGGCAAGUGGGAUUGCGAGUGUAGAGGUCAAAUUCGUAGAUAUUCGCUGGAUCACCAGUGGAGAAGGCGACUUGCUGGGCUUGUAGUGACUCUGAGACGCGAAAGCGUGUGGAGCAAACUGG